GUCAGCACAAGGCCAUAUACUGCUGAGAUGGACCGUGGCAGGAGCGGGAGAGGAGCGGCGUCAGGGCCUACAAACAAAGUGAUCCACCACCACCAUCACCACCACCACCAAGAACAUGAGGAGAGAUCGGCCAAUGAACCCAAGGCGGACGCAAGCCAAGGACCCAUCAAGGCUUCGGGAGUGUCUGCAAUCAACUCCUUAAAGUAUUUGGAGGCUGAAGGAGGAAGACAAGGAGGGUGCACAGGAGGAAGGGCAAGUGUUUCUGUCGCUCUGUUGUACCAAGAACUCUGAAGACGAGGAGGAAUACGGUGUCUGUGUUCUCUUCUUUAUUGGGAAAGAGAAGACGAAGAAGACAAUGAAUUUCCGUCUCUAUCACUCCGUCUAAGAAGCUGGAAGACUCACACGCUGUUCUGUCACCGAUCGGGCCACUCGUCCUUCAUCGG
Long non-coding RNA from Eriocheir sinensis (Chinese mitten crab), 443 nucleotides. RefSeq lists it as uncharacterized. The record is from RefSeq and is a predicted model, not a curated record. The transcript has 3 exons. Lineage: Eukaryota; Metazoa; Arthropoda; Malacostraca; Decapoda; Varunidae.